UUAAAUACUUUUUUUUCUUAGUUUUUAACCUCGUGUUAAACUUUCUCGUUAUUUUCACCGUGUUAUUUAUUGCGCCGCUUUUUCUUUCAUUCGAACUGAAACUUGUUCAAUAUUUUAACACCAUUGUGCAACGUAUUCGCGCGCGUACACACAUAUACAUAUAUAUAUUUAUCUGUUCGUUUGUAUAUAUAUAUAUUUAUAUAUAUAUAUUUAUAUAUAAUAUAAAAAACAGUAUCUUCUAUCGCUUGUGAGAAGAAAGCAAAACAGGAUGCCUUAGGCAAUCCAAAAAGCUGUUCGUCCGUAUGUCUAUACAGCCGAACAUGCAGAAUGAGAAAACAGUCUGGGUCUUUCAAAAUUGAUCAUAAUGAUCUUUUUUUGAAUUUGUUCCAAUGGAUUAUUGUUCUGUCGUCUAUUUAUCGUUUUAUCUCUCGUCGUAUCAUCAUGUGAUUGCUGAUGAAGUAUGAAAAAUGACACAACUCCCGUUUCUGAUUAUCGUUCCGGCGCGAAGUAAGAUGGAUUCUUCGAAUAGAGGACCAUGAGGAUCAGAAGGGCGAGGACGAACAGGCGGCUACCAUGGCUCGAAUAAAGCGUCAAGACGCCUGCCAACCACCAUAGCGUCGGACAGCCACCAGAUACCGUUUCCCAUAUCCAUACGCUGUAAUCAUGAAAACUCCUUGGAAGUUUUGUUCAGAUAGAAAAGUCGAUACGGCUGUUUUAAGAGAUUCGUUUUCGCUGCGUUUAGACUUCUAAUUGGAUUUGAACCAAGAAGUUGACGAAGGAUUGACCCGAAACUGUGUUGAAUUAUCGGAAAAAAUGC
Long non-coding RNA from Apis mellifera (honey bee), 817 nucleotides. RefSeq lists it as uncharacterized. Lineage: Eukaryota; Metazoa; Arthropoda; Insecta; Hymenoptera; Apidae. The transcript is spliced from 5 exons. The record is from RefSeq and is a predicted model, not a curated record.